Molecule: non-coding RNA, 453 nt
Organism: Ciona intestinalis (vase tunicate)
Lineage: Eukaryota; Metazoa; Chordata; Ascidiacea; Phlebobranchia; Cionidae
Source: RefSeq, a predicted model, not a curated record
AAUACUCAGCUAACAUUCUUAUCUCUGCAUCAGCCACAGUACGAUUCGCAGUAAGAAACAACUUCUUAAGAUUAGGGCAACAUCUUGCAAGUGAUGCCGCCAAAAAGCUUAAAGAGCACUGAAUUUAAACCAACCAAUCAGAAGUGAGAAGACCACACUCAACCUACCAUCCAAAGUCAAGUUCUUCCAAGAAUUGACAAUUUUUCGCCAACUCAUUCAAACCGCGACUUGUUAAACUACGAGCUCGCCAUGCAUCGAUUAUUCGCAUCUGUUUACAAUGGGCAGCUAUCUCACAGAACACCCUAGAAUUGUGACCGAAAAGACAAAAUAAAAUUGAUUUAUUUACAUUGUGGUUAACUACUGAUCAAUUUAAAUAUGUAAUACAACAAUUUUAUAUGAAUAUUAAAUAAUAACAUAAUCUCACAGAAGACCUUGUAUAUUAUAGUAAACUAA